Molecule: ribosomal RNA, 484 nt
Filed under: uncultured bacterium
Lineage: Bacteria
Description: partial 16S ribosomal RNA
Rfam family: Bacterial small subunit ribosomal RNA
Source: RNAcentral
AAUGAACGUUGGCGGCGUGGAUUAGGCAUGCAAGUCGUGCGGAAAGGCUCCUUCGGGAGUACUCGAGCGGCGAAAGGGAGAGUAACGCGUGGAUAUCUACCCCCUGGCCUGGGAUAGUGGCGGGAAACUGCCGGUAAUACCAGAUAAUAUCUGCGGAUCAAAGGUGUGAUUCCGCCGGGGGAUGAGUCCGCGUCCUAUUAGCUAGUUGGUGAGGUAACGGCCCACCAAGGCUGAGAUGGGUACCGGGUGUGAGAGCAUGGCCCGGCUCACUGGGACUGAGACACUGCCCAGACACCUACGGGUGGCUGCAGUCGAGAAUCUUCGGCAAUGGGCGCAAGCCUGACCGAGCGACGCCGCGUGCGGGAUGAAGGCCUUCGGGUUGUAAACCGCUGUCAGAGGGGAGGAAAUGCAUGGGGGUUCUCCCUCAUGUUUGACCUAUCCUCAGAGGAAGUACGGGCUAAGUUCGUGCCAGCAGCCGCAGUAA